MicroRNA precursor from Carassius auratus (goldfish), 69 nucleotides. The record is from Ensembl. NCBI's taxonomy places the organism in Eukaryota, Metazoa, Chordata, Actinopteri, Cypriniformes, Cyprinidae.
CUGUAUUCUACAGUGCAUGUGUCUCCAGUGUUUCUAUGGCGACUGGGGAGGCAGCGCUGUUGGAAUAAC